CCAAGCCACAGGAGCCACAGUUUAUUUUCCCCCUGUCUCCCUCUCGUUUGGUCGUUGACAGGAGCCACAGGAUGACGAAUAGCUAAGCUCUUCGUCAUCCUCUCGCGCUUCAGCAAUGUUACUCGCCGGACAUAACUCCUCCGACCUGUCCAAGUUGACUCAACUCCAUCAAGGCCCGACCUGCAACGCGUGUUUGCCUUGUAGCUUCCCAUAUCCUGGUGUCCCAAGUUCGAGUUGAAACCAGAUAGGAAUUUUUGGGGGCCGUUGAAUGAUAGUGUUCCUCAGUUCUAGUUGAAGCUUAGCGUGGCCAUGGUCAACGAGGCAGCAGCCUAUGGCGCAUCUCUGCUUAAUUUGCAGUUCUUGGUAAAUGCAAACUCAGUUUAUGGUUGCUGGAGCGACUGUUGGUCAGUUACCUUAUUUAGAGAUUUCUUCAUGUGUGAUCAGGGGCGAAGCUAGAGCUCAGUCGACCCUGGUGCACCACUCAACAUAUAUGUUCUCAUAUGGUUUGGAUAAAUUUUAUAAUUUUCACCAAAUUUCAUUCCAAUUUAGACUUUUUGAAAAAAAUAGUCAAAUUCAGAAUUUUUGCCUAAUUUUAUUCAAAAUUCAAAUUUUCUAGCAGAAUUUUUUUCAAUAACCGUUGAUAGUUGACCUUGUCGGCUGUACUGUCCAGGCUUAGUGUUUUCAUUAAAUGAUACCAUUAACACUAUUCAAAUAUUGAGUACCCGUGUUAUAGAAUCAAGAGAAAGAAACAUAAAAAUUCAAUUCAAUUAAGCAUCAGAAGCUUACUUGAUAUGGUAUUUAUAUAUUUGCAUAUAAAUUCUCAAGCCUCAUGUCUGAGUCCUUUACUAUUUAGUGUCCUUGCGUAUUUUUUUUCCUUCUAAUUGCAAGUCCCCAAUUGAGACUUGAGAAGAAACAUAAUGCAAAAGCUUCUUCAAAUCUUCCAUACAUAGAAAACUAGAAAUAGCUCUGAGCUUCCUUCAACAAAACUUCUUGCGUACAAGCUGAAUGAAGCAAAAUAAAUUUAAUAGGAUCUGGUUUUAUGCCAUAACACCCACAACUUCGGUGACCACACGCACGCUUGGCUGGCGCUGAGCUGCCGCACCGCGCAAAUUCCGGUAGGUAGCUGCCGCGCUGUUCAACUGAGUGCACAUGAUGCGCGCCAGCUCGUCACCGUCUCGCUCUCCCUCCGUCUAUAAAUGCACACCCGCCCCCCUUUCCUCCCCCCCCCCCCCACUCAAAAUCCACCACCGCCCAAUUUCUAUCUCACUGUCGUCGCCUCCUUGUCCGUCAUUGUCCUGCUAGCCGGCCACGACGAGGGUGAAGAAGGCUCACCGCCCGAAGCUGCCGUCACCUCUGGGUCGACUCGUUGUGGAGCUCAGAGUGGAGGACCCCAAUGCCAAGCCUUUCCUUGCCACCGACUUCGCUGUCAAUUCCGCCACUACAUCGCUCCUUCUGGCCAAACAAACACAGGGUGAGUUUCCCCUCUCCCUCCCAUGUCCUUUGCAUGCAUUGUUUUUCCUUCGGCUCGACGCUAGAACACCUCUCCGCAGUGUCCGAGAGCCGCCAUGCCUCAACCAAAUACCGCUGUUCGGGCCAUGCCAGGCCCUUGGCCCUUGAACCCUAUGUCUGGACUUCACACGUCGCGUUGCACCUAUAGCAGUAACCAACCGAGUCCCCCUCUCUUUCCUCUCCUCCGUUGACAACCGAGCUGCCGCCACCAUUGCCAUCUCCGGCGAUCGACUAGACCUUCCCCGAUUGCCACUUGCUGUCAUUGACCCCCAAAACGGGUUUGCGAGCCCACACAGAUCCCCGGUCGUAGUUCCCUUGCUAGGCUACCUCCUCUAAGCCAGUUUUGGCAAGCUCUACGGCGAGGCACUACCGUGAACAGCUCUUCAGUCACUGUCGCUACUCUGCCCCAUCCUGGCGAGCCCACGCACGUGCACGUUGCGCACACGCGUGCUGCCCAGUCCUCCCAGUCGCGUCCGCGCGGCCCAAUAGAGCAGGCAACGGUUCAGUCCAUUAGAUGGGUCGGCCUGUUGAUGCAACCCACCCGAGGUUGCAAGCUGGCCUUGCCCAAGCUCACGACGGUCGCGGGCCAUAUCCUAAAUUAUGGGCCGACCUACCUACUGUACAGGCCCAAGUCCAGCUCGAACCCAGGCCCAAGUCCAGCUCGAACCCACACUGUGCAGUGGACCCCGCCAGUAUACUGUUCAAUGGGCCCCACAAUACUGUUCAGUGGGUCCCACCUAUGGGCCCCAUCCAUGAAUAGUUCCAUAUUUCUUUUUCUCAAUUUAAUUCUAGAUCAAAUGUUUCGGAGUCAUAACUUCUCCGUUCUGACUCAGAUUCUGGUGAUUAUUUCACCUAAAUUCAUCUAAAUUUGAGAUCUAUCUUUCUAUCAUAGUGUGAUAUUCAUUAGAGCUCAUUUGGUAUUCUAUUUGGUGUUAUUUUAUUAUUAUCUCCUAUAUGCCAUCGUUAAUCGUAAUCGCGUUUGCAAAACCAGAGGAUUUCGCGGAGAACCCGGAGGACCCCGACUUCAACCAAGGUUUAGAAGCAGACUUUGGAGAAGGCAAGUUCUAUCUCCUUGAUCAUUCUGGGUCUAUGUUUUGCAAUAAUCUAAUUGAUCAACUUAAAACUUGACUUAUUGCCGCAUGUGUUAUGUAUUGCGUUAUUUCUACUGCUUGUAGUAAUUAAAUCCUAUCAAACAAUUGUCAUGCCUUAAAUGUCUUAUCUAGAAUACAUAUCUCUCUAGGAUUGACCUUUCGUUAUCUAUAUUAACGUCGGGCGACACCAUGAUAUCUAGCAUUCUUAUGAUGGAAUGCACCUUUUCGGAGAUGUCGCUAGUGAAAUACGUCUCUUCGGAGCUAUCGCUUCACUGUUUAAUCAAUUCAACCCAUAUGCUAUGAAUCUUAAUAUAGUGUGGGAUAUGGCAAGUGGUGUGUAAAAUGGGUGAAAACUGUUUUGGCGGGGGUAAGUAGAGUAGUCCUCCGGUCGAAGAUGCUCUUGGGGGUUUGAGCUACCUUUGUGGUAUUCAUUGCCAACUGAAGAUGCCUGCCACGACCGUUAAAUACCGAAUCAUUGUGCUGUUAUGCUAAGAAAUCCCAGUGCAACCAUGCGUCCUAAAUGGGCAGGACUUGAUCUCACAUCCCGUUAGUUGAGCUCAUUACCCACCCUAGAGGUAGGGGUACAACGGGAACUCAAGAAAAUACUCGUUACUGUGCGUAGUACGAGAGCUGGCUGGUGACAUUGCUGGCCACCAAGCCAUGAUUAAUCAAGUGCUCCAGACCCCUGAUGUUUUCCUGUGGGUGGAUCGUGUAGCAACAUGCUUGAUGAGUACGAGAACUUGGUAUGAUUCGCUCAUCCGUUUGCAAUGGUUGGAGGCUGAGCAUAUCGUAUGUGUAUAAUGUACAACCUCUGUAGAGUGUAAAUCUAUUCAAAUAGCCGUGUUCACGAUCAUAGACAUGCAAAGCAAUGGCCACACAUUGGUUAGACUCAGGGGCAUGUGUGUCUUUGACGAGUGAGUGUGUGGAGUAGAUGUUCGUGUGAUGAAGUUGUUGGCUCAAUCUGCCAAGAUCAAUGUAGUACUAGAGGCAUACUAGACACAAUGAUAGGGACUACAGAGUGAGGUGUAGCCCCUCCUAGGACCGAAGAACCCCCAGAUACACCUUGUUACCUUGUUUGAUCCAUUUCGAAGUUAAACAAUAGAGAAUACAACUUAAUAAACUGCAUAAAACUGCUUUAUGUUUCAAACUAAACCAUAAAACCUUGUCAUUCAGAUAUCCUUUAUGCAUCUAUCAACAUCUUGAAAUAGCAUAGGACUUGAUGAGUACCUUUCGUACUCAUUCUUACUAUCAUUUAGAUGAGGAAGCAGAUGCUGACUUAGCUGGAGAUGAAGGCAUGGAUGAGGAGUAGAUUAGUAAUCACGUUUGCACCCUAGCUGCAUGUGACUUUGGGUAGUUGUUCCGCUCUGCUUUUGAUGGCCGUUAGGCUAGGUUUGUAAUAUAUAGUAUGGUUUGAAGACUUUUUGUACUCUAUAACCAUAAUACUUUUAUGUGUGAUACAUGACUAUGAUGUUAUAACUGUUGUACUAUGCGUAUUAGCUACUUAAUUCAGGAACUGAUACAUGAGGCAUAAAAAAUCCUAGGAUCAGGGUCUUACAACCAACAAUUGGUUGUGGCCCCGAUCCGUGCAGCGUCAUAAUAUAAGGGGGAGGGCCGGUGCCCACGAGCACGAGGUUCUUGCGUGGCUCUGUCUAUCCCCAACAUAUCUAAACCAUCCCACGAUCAUUAGGGUGUUGUCAACAGGUCGAAGGCCACCACUGUGACUUCGCUGACCUCCUUCACCGCGCUGGCGUCCAUUGCACCGACCCCUCCGUUAAGCCGGCGAUCAACUACACUGACGUGUACACCUACGUCAAUCCUCUGCACCACAUCAUCUCACCGAUCACUAAUGGCAUUCCCAAGCGCAGGUAUGUUCUCACGCUUUCGCAUUGUAUGUGUUCAUGUGCUAGGGCUACCAAUUUGAUGUUUUGAUUCAAGAAUUAUGCUAACACUGGGAUGCCUUUUUCUGCUCGUGUUCAGAUGCUUGACUCAAUAAAUUUGAAUUAGAUAUAGGCUUUGCUGGUCGCCCUCCUUGAGUUAAUUGAAUAAUCGAUGUCAUUGAAAUAGGCUUUGUUGUGUGGUUAAUAUGUAUGCUUGUAGUUAAUUGGUAGGAAAUUUGCGUACCCAGGCUUUCCAGCUUUUGGGAUGCUUCAUGUAGGAUCCAUUACUCACUAAUUUGGUAAUUAGAGGGGAGUGAAUGAUUGUGGAAGUUAAAAAUAAAAUUUUCAUGAUUAAAAAUUCACUCUAUAUAAAUCCAUCAUGUUUUAAAUCUUAGUAAAAAACCUUUGAAAGAAGCUCCGAUUGACUUGUAAUAUUGGCGGUGGAAAGUAGACAAAAUUUCACAAUUAAUACAAUAAGAAUCAUGUCAAUUAGAUAUCCAGAUCUUAAGAUAUGCUCAUAAAAGCAAAACCGUUUCUGAUGGUGAAAAUAAUCAACAUAUGGAAACCUGGAGAUUAUCAACACAUCAUCUUGAAAAUUUCAUCUUUAUAGCUAGAAGUGUGCACAAGAUGUCUCACGAGAUGCAUCAACGCGGUCCCCAAGCCGCGUUGGUUGGGGUGGGGGUUGGGAGCGGACGUCGGUUGGGUGGGGCGGGCACCGUGGUGGCAUGGCGAUGGCGUGGCGAAAGGCGCCAGCGCCACUACAAAACCCAACACGAAGCGGCUUCUUUACUCCCAACGAAGGCUUCAGCGUGCGGGACCACAUCUCGAGGAUUUUAUCGGACGUCGACAAGGUCAUCCGGAACCUGAGGGCGCUGCUGCCGCAGCUGAAGCGGAAGCUUGAGGCCGCUCCCCAGGGCCUGAACACGGCGCUUGAGAGCUUCAGCGUGCGGGACCACAUCGCGAGGACGUCAGCGGACGUCGAGAAGGUACCCUUCAUCCGGAACCUGUCACAGUUUCUCACCUCCAUCCCAGAUUUGUGCAGCUCUCGCGUCUUCAUCAAGGUCUGACAGAAAGCUCAACAUUCCCUUUUAGUUUCAUUGUCCUGCUUGGGAUUCUCAUCUCAUUUUGUGCCAAAUUGCAUCUUAUUUCGCUAUCGAGUCAGGUUAUGCUUGUAGCGUUCAAUAAAGCAUAGUUUGUGUGGGGUUAUAUCGUGUUUAAUUAGGAUUUCAUAUCUCGUAGUGCCUUCAUCAAUUAAUGAGUAUGACAUGCUGUCCUGGGCUUAUUCUUCAGCCUUGACCGGCUGGUACUUUCUUAAUUCCUGUGGUCAUUUACUGAUUGCAAGUUAAACAUGAGAACUUACUUAGUCAAUUGCCGUAGAAUGUUUACUGCUUGCAUUAUGCACGCGCGAACUUUGCAUACUAGUAUGGCUUAAGGGGCACCGGUUUGUAUCAGAAUAUCUCUUACCGAAUUUGAUCCAUUUUGUCAUCAACUAUCUAGCAAGAGUGAUACCCCUAUUAUGAUGAAGAAGGUGUCGAUGAGGUGCAGAGCUGCAAUAUGCUAACAUAUGCUAUUUAUCUUAACCAUGACCCUUUGUAAUGUCCAUCGUCGUGUGACUCCUCCAGCAGUAUGAUUAUGGUAUGCUCCUAUUUUCCUUUGUCCUGCUGAACUUAGAUACUUGCCAUAGAAUGCUUAAUGUUUUUAUAGUUGUUUUAUGUGUGCACGAACUGUGCAUGCAAAUGUGGAUUAAGGGCCACUGGUUCGUAUCAGAAUCUCUUGCCGAAUUCGUUCCAGUUUGUCAUCAACUAUCUAGCCAGAGCUAGUGCAACCCUAUAGAAAUAUAUAACCAUGGUAUUUGUUUCCCAAAGGCUUAUGAAGAGCUGAAUCUCUAAGCAUGUUUUGAGUUAAAACACGUGUUGAUGGCUACUCCUAGUAUGACGAAGAGGGCGUUGAUGAAGGUGGUGCGCUGCAAUAUGCUAGCAUAUGCUAUUUUUCUUUAACUAGGACACUCAGCAAUGUCCAUCUUCGUUAAACCCUUCCAGCAGUAUGGGUUCUACCAAUCCUAUGAUAAUAGAAAGCAGCCACUCCAAUGACAACAAUAAUUAUGAAACUAGUUCUGUGCUGAAUAGCCUUCCUUGGGUUAAGAAUGACCCAGCCACUAACAGAGAUCCUAGGACUGUACUUGUGAUUGUGGUCAAUAGUCAAAUAAAUAAUUGUUCUACAGACACUUCUAAUGGUGGGCAUGCUUCUGAAGAAAAUAAGAAGAUGAAGGGUAAACUGGGUUUCGUCUCCACCGCUGCGGACAAGUUGCUUACCUUCCAGCUCGUUCUCAUCCCUGUAUCACUUUACGCCCUCAACCAGAUGAGCUUGAGAGAAAGUCAGAAACGUGGGAUGGAUACCGUUUUGGUACUAAGUACCAUAUCAACUCUCCUCCUGGUUCUUAUGGCAUCUUACGCUUCAUGCUUCAAGGAGAGCGAGUUAAUUGUCGAUGUUCCAUUUGAAAUCCUCUCAAUCCUGCUGCUGUUUAACUUUACACUCCUUGACAUAGAAUUAUGUAUAAUACUGCAAAAUUAUGCACAUAUCCCCAUUGGUGUUGUAUUGCCCAUUGGAAUUACAUUCUUCUCAGUGGUGCUCACGUGGGUUAUAUACUUAGAGCGGCCAAAGUUUCUGAAAAAAUGGACAAAGUUUGUGCGGCGGAAAAUCUGAUGUUGUCUGAGAUGCUCCACUUCGAGCCUGCUUGGGCGAUAGACGGGGUAAGCAUCCUGCUUGUUUAUAUUAUUGGUUGUCUCAAAUUCUAUUACAGGUUCGGUGUUUUCAAGGAAAGUGUGGACAAACAUAUAACAACAUAUUAGGAUGGUCCCUUGACUUGGCAAGGUUGUUAGUUGUCUGUUAGCCUUUGUAUCGUUCAAAUUUGAGAAUGGUUGUUCGGUGACUGCAGGCCAAAUCAUGAACCGUGCGAUUCUCUCAUGUGUACCGAGCAUCUGUAAAAUCGAAGUGAGAUGAGGAGACUUCGCUCUACCCAGCAGCUUGAGGAAACUUGGGAGCUUAUAAUAUCAUUUAAGUUCCACUUAUUAUGAUUAUGCAUUCAUGUACUAUGGAGAGCUCUUGUUAGUGCGGAGGCUGAAAAUUAGGGUAUGUUUAGUUAGAGAGAUAUUUUUAGAUGGGAGAUAGCCAUUUAGUUUUUUAGAUGUUUGGUUGGAGGGUAAGCUGGCUGAGAUGUCUAUCUAGAGGAAAUAUUCUUUUCAAUACUGGAUGAGUCCAUCCGCCAAAAACUGCUGGACAGAGUCAUCCAUAUUCUGGAUGAACUUUAUCCAGGUUGAUGUGAUAUAUUUUUAUUGGUCAGAGUAAAUAUAUUUUUUUAUUAGUAUAUUUUAAAUAAUAUUA
This is an RNA transcript of Phragmites australis (common reed), 7858 nucleotides long. RefSeq lists it as uncharacterized. The record is from RefSeq and is a predicted model, not a curated record. The transcript has 8 exons. NCBI's taxonomy places the organism in Eukaryota, Viridiplantae, Streptophyta, Magnoliopsida, Poales, Poaceae.